Molecule: ribosomal RNA, 1075 nt
Filed under: Sarcographa difformis
Lineage: Eukaryota; Fungi; Ascomycota; Lecanoromycetes; Ostropales; Graphidaceae
Description: eukaryotic LSU rRNA
Rfam family: Eukaryotic large subunit ribosomal RNA
Source: RNAcentral
AGGCGUCAUAGAGGGUGAGAAUCCCGUAUGUCACCGUCCUGUCAAUCUUUGUGAAGCCCUUUCGACGAGUCGAGUUGUUUGGGAAUGCAGCUCUAAAUGGGUGGUAAAUUUCAUCUAAAGCUAAAUACCUGCCAGAGACCGAUAGCGCACAAGUAGAGUGAUCGAAAGAUGAAAAGAACUUUGAAAAGAGAGUUAAACAGUACGUGAAAUUGUUAAAAGGGAAGCGCUCGCAAUCAGACUCGAUUACAGGGGUUCAGCCACUCUUUGGGAUGGUGUAUUCUCCUGUAUACGGGCCAGCAUCGGUUUUGACGGGCGGAUAAAGGUCUUGAGAAAGUAGCUCUCUUCGGGGAGUGUUAUAGCUCGAGGCAUAAUGCGUCCUGUCUAGACCGAGGAUCGCGCUUUUGCUAGGAUGCUGGCGUAAUGGUUGCUAGCGACCCGUCUUGAAACACGGACCAGUGAGUUCUCGUCAUAAUGCUGAUGGUUGAAUUUUUGCUAAUCAUGUCACAGAGGAGUCGACCAAUCGCGCGAGUGUUUGGGCGUAAAACCCAAGCGCGCAGUGAAAGCAAACGUAGGUGGGAGCCUUUGGGCGCACCAUCGACCGAUCUUGAUGUCUUCGGAUGGAUUUGAGUAUAAGCACGGUUGGUCGGUCCCGAAAGGUUAGUUGAGUGUUUGUCUUAAAGUGAAAAUUUAUUGCUAACAUCUUUCAGAUGGUGAACUAUGCGUGAAUAGAAUGAAGCCAGGGGAAACCCUGGUGGAAGUUCGCAGCGGUUCUGACGUGCAAAUCGAUCGUCAAAUUUGCGCAUAGGGGCGAAAGGYAUUAUAAUCGAAUCUGAUAGUUCAAGUACMAUUUAGCUAMCGUUAUAUAGACUAAUCGAACCGUCUAGGUACGUUAAUUCGCGGUUUGAGAACACUGAGUUUAAUCAUACUAAUAAUUUCUACAGUAGCUGGUUCCUGUCGAAGUUUCCCUCAGGAUAGCAGUAACGAAAUAAUAGUCUCAUGAGGUAGAGCGAACGAUUAGAGGCCUUGGGGCUGAAACAGUAAGUUUGUCCUGUUUAACAAAAUAAUCAUAUGGCUA